CCACUCUCAGGGUCGUACCUGGAGAGUUUCCAGCACUCUGCCAGUCUUGGCUACCGGAGAGAGAGUCAAGCAGAGGCUUACCCGUUCCAUCCCUAGCUUGGGCAGUGGCUAGCAAGUGGAAGGCAAUCCGCUACAAAU
Molecule: small nucleolar RNA, 138 nt
Organism: Tachyglossus aculeatus (Australian echidna)
Lineage: Eukaryota; Metazoa; Chordata; Mammalia; Monotremata; Tachyglossidae
Source: RefSeq, a predicted model, not a curated record